This is a non-coding RNA of Macaca mulatta (Rhesus monkey), 283 nucleotides long. The record is from Rfam. NCBI's taxonomy places the organism in Eukaryota, Metazoa, Chordata, Mammalia, Primates, Cercopithecidae.
UGGCGCCCGAACAGGGACCUGGAAACGAGGGACUCCGUGAGGAAGAGGACGCCAAAGGAUGGUCGACCGCUAACGAAGACAAAAGGAGUCAAACUCUUCCGAUCACCGCGGGAACCUGCCGCGUCAGAAUCGAAGGUAAGUGACGCGUCCGAAAUGGGACAAGAAUUAAGCCAACAUCAAAUAUAUGUAGGACAAUUAAAAGAGGCUUUAAAGAUACGAGGAGUAAAGGUUAAAGGUAAUGAUUUGUUUAAAUUUUUUGAUUUUGUAAAAGAUACUUGCCCUU